GACGAACGCUGGCGGCGUGCUCAACACAUGCAAGUCGAACGGAAAGGCCUUUUCGGAGGUACUCGAGUGGCGAGCGGGUGAGUAACACGUGGGUGAUCUGCCCUGCACUCUGGUAUAAGCCUGAGAAACUGGGUCUAAUACCGGCUAGGACCGCACUUUAGUGUGUGUGGUGGAAAGCUUUUUCGGUGUAGGGUGAGCCCGCGGCCUAUCAGCCUGGUGGUGGGGUAAUGGCCUUCCAAGGCGGCGACGGGUAGCCGGACUGAGAGGUUGGUCGGCCACAAUGGGACUGAGAGACGGGCCAGACUCCUACGGGAGGCAGCAAUGGGGAAUAUUGCACAAUGGGCGGAAGCCUGAUGCGGCGACGCCGCGGGGGGGAUGACGGCCUUCGGGUUGUAAAAUCCUUUCGCCAGGGACGAAGCGUUUUGUGACGGUAACUGGUAAAGAAGCACCGGCUAACUACGUG
This 463-nucleotide ribosomal RNA is filed under the name uncultured bacterium. Its description in RNAcentral is "partial 16S ribosomal RNA". It matches the Rfam family "Bacterial small subunit ribosomal RNA", at positions 28 to 507 of the family's 1533-position model. The record is from RNAcentral.